AAAGACGAGUACAGUGAGAGACAGACAGAUACAGUAAGAGACAAACAGGUACAGUGAGAGACAGACGGAUACACUGAAGGAUAGACAGGUACACUGAGAGAAAGACGAGUACAGUAAGAGACAGACAGGUACAGUAAGAGACAGACAGAUACAGUGAGAGACAGACAGGUACAGUGAGAGACAGACGGAUACACUGAAGGACAGACAGGUACACUGAGAGACAGACAGGUACAGUGAGAGACAGACGAAUACAAAGAAGGACAGACAGGUACACUGAGAGAAAGACGAGUACAGUAAGAGACAGACAGGUACAGUAAGAGACAGACAGAUACAGUGAGAGACAGACAGGUACAGUGAGAGACAGACGGAUACACUGAAGGACAGACAGGUACACUGAGAGACAGACAGGUACUGAGAGAAAGACGAGUACAGUAAGAG
Dicentrarchus labrax (European seabass) is the source of this 438-nucleotide long non-coding RNA. RefSeq lists it as uncharacterized. The transcript is spliced from 3 exons. NCBI's taxonomy places the organism in Eukaryota, Metazoa, Chordata, Actinopteri, Moronidae. The record is from RefSeq and is a predicted model, not a curated record.